RNAcentral lists this long non-coding RNA (1436 nucleotides) under Salmo salar (Atlantic salmon). RNAcentral's name for it is "lncRNA (ENSSSAG00000100918.1)". Lineage: Eukaryota; Metazoa; Chordata; Actinopteri; Salmoniformes; Salmonidae. The record is from RNAcentral.
CCUCUGUUUACUUCAGACAUAUAUUCUUCCACAUAUCAUCACAGAAAAGUUAAUCAGUUAGAUAAUGUUUACCCAGUGGCAUCCUGAGACAUUGAUAGAUCAUGAGAGAAGAAAAUAUUAAAUUACCAUUUCUAAGCUGCUCAUUUAUUAUGUUAAAACUCACCCCAGCACAUUCUGAGGCAGGAAGGACAUCACCCUCUUCUGGUCUUCACCCCACUGGGGCAAGUUCAGAAGCCUGGGGUGGAUACAAGAGGGCCUGGGAUAGAUCACCAGGGACAGGGGCCGAACGUGAGGCAGGAGGGAGUGCUGCAGGUACCUGCAUGUCCACGGGUUCAUACCUAAUACAUACAGAGAAUACAUAAGACACAGAUACAGUACUAAGCAUUCUCAGCACCAUGACAGUAAAUCUACAGCAUGAAAGGUAAGAGACAGAUACAGUACUAAGCAUUCUCAGCACCAUGACAGUAAAUCUACAGCAUGAAAGGUAAGAGACAGAUACAGUACUAAGCAUUCUCAGCACCAUGACAGUAAAUCUACAGCAUGAAAGGUAAGAGACAGAUACAGCACUAAGCAUUCUCAGCACCAUGACAGUAAAACUACACCAUGAAAGGUAAGUGACAGAUACAGUACUAAGCAUUCUCAGCACCAUGACAGUAAAUCUACAGCAUGAAAGGUAAGAGACAGAUACUAGAUUUAGUUGUGUAACUAAAGGACAAAGAAUGCAUAGCCCUUUAUGACAGAUUCAGGAAGGGAGUGUCAUGAUGCUGAGGAGUGUCACAUUCAAUACAUGGACAAAUAGUAAGAUUAACACAAUGCAUAUCUUCCAUUAUUGUAAAGUAUUCAUGCUUGCAGAAUGUCAAGGGAACAGAAUAGCCUACCUAACAUUGCAGAACCAUAUUCAUGUGUAGAUUGAAAUGCAAGGCAAAUAUCAUGAUUAUGACACCAUGAAACUAGACAACAUAAUACAUCUAUUAUCUAAUCCAUGACUGAUACAUGUUGAAUAAAACUGUUUUACACUGAAACAUAAACUACUGUACAGUAGCAUGUUAAAGUUACUCAACUGUAGCCUGCAUCACGUUCACACGAUUUCACAACUUCACAGACGUCUUACACCACACAACAAAGCACCAAUUUAAGCGAUAGUAUGAAUUAAAAUAGCUCCGAUUGUAAAAAUAGUAUUGAAAAUGCAGACAAGUGGUGUGUGAUUGUACAGGUAGUUACCGAUACCAAACCAAUGCUACGGGUAUCAUAGGUAGAUGACUGCUGAGAUGUUUUACAUUCACUUUUCCAUUCUUCUUACAACUUCACAGAUGUAGCAAUAAGAUUUACAACUGAUUUCAUCCAACCUUGUAAAAGAUAUUUACUCUGUAACUCUCCGUUUGAUGUAAACAAAGAUCCGAUGAGGGGAAAGUGUCAUGGCGCCGUUUGGUUUUUCA